Molecule: ribosomal RNA, 474 nt
Filed under: uncultured bacterium
Lineage: Bacteria
Description: bacterial SSU rRNA
Rfam family: Bacterial small subunit ribosomal RNA
Source: RNAcentral
GCAGAGCACUCCUACGGGAGGCAGCAGUGGGGAAUAUUGCACAAUGGGGGAAACCCUGAUGCAGCCAUGCCGCGUGUGUGAAGAAGGCCUUCGGGUUGUAAAGCACUUUCAGUAGGGAGGAAGGUAGUGUAGUUAACACCUGCAUUAUUUGACGUUACCUACAGAAGAAGCACCGGCUAACUCCGUGCCAGCAGCCGCGGUAAUACGGAGGGUGCGAGCGUUAAUCGGAAUUACUGGGCGUAAAGCGCAUGCAGGCGGCCUGUUAAGUCAGAUGUGAAAGCCCCGGGGCUUAACCUCGGAAUUGCAUUUGAAACUGGCAGGCUAGAGUCUUGUAGAGGGGGUAGAAUUUCAGGUGUAGCGGUGAAAUGCGUAGAGAUCUGAAGGAAUACCAGUGGCGAAGGCGGCCCCCUGGACAAAGACUGACGCUCAGAUGCGAAAGCGUGGGGAGCAAACAGGAUUAGAUACCCCUGGUAG